This 398-nucleotide ribosomal RNA is filed under the name uncultured bacterium. Its description in RNAcentral is "partial 16S ribosomal RNA". It matches the Rfam family "Bacterial small subunit ribosomal RNA", at positions 338 to 733 of the family's 1533-position model. The record is from RNAcentral.
CCUACGGGUGGCAGCAGUGAGGAAUAUUGGUCAAUGGACGGAAGUCUGAACCAGCCAAGCCGCGUGCGGGAAGACGGCUCUGUGAGUUGUAAACUGCUUUUGUCAAAGGAUAAACCUGGAUACUUGUAUUCAGCUGAGGGUACUUGACGAAUAAGGAUCGGCUAACUCCGUGCCAGCAGCCGCGGUAAUACGGAGGAUCCAAGCGUUAUCCGGAUUUAUUGGGUUUAAAGGGUGCGUAGGCGGAUUGAUAAGUUAGAGGUGAAAUGUCCGAGCUUAACUCCGGCACUGCCUCUAAUCCUGGCGAGCUAGAGAGUAGAUGCGGUAGGCGGAAUGUAUGGUGUAGCGGUGAAAUGCUUAGAGAUCAUACAGAACCCCGAUUGCGAAGGCAGCUUACCAAA